ACCUUCGGGCCUCUUGCCAUCAGAUGUGCCCAGAUGGGAUUAGCUUGUUGGUGAGGUAACGGCUCACCAAGGCGACGAUCCCUAGCUGGUCUGAGAGGAUGACCAGCCACACUGGAACUGAGACACGGUCCAGACUCCUACGGGAGGCAGCAGUGGGGAAUAUUGCACAAUGGGCGCAAGCCUGAUGCAGCCAUGCCGCGUGUAUGAAGAAGGCCUUCGGGUUGUAAAGUACUUUCAGCGGGGAGGAAGGUGUUGUGGUUAAUAACC
Molecule: ribosomal RNA, 267 nt
Filed under: Salmonella enterica subsp. enterica serovar Chester
Lineage: Bacteria; Pseudomonadati; Pseudomonadota; Gammaproteobacteria; Enterobacterales; Enterobacteriaceae
Description: partial 16S ribosomal RNA
Rfam family: Bacterial small subunit ribosomal RNA
Source: RNAcentral